This 406-nucleotide ribosomal RNA is filed under the name uncultured bacterium. Its description in RNAcentral is "partial 16S ribosomal RNA". It matches the Rfam family "Bacterial small subunit ribosomal RNA", at positions 30 to 526 of the family's 1533-position model. The record is from RNAcentral.
AUUGAACGCUGGCGGCAGGCCUAACACAUGCAAGUCGAACGAGUGGCGGACGGGUGAGUAAUGUCUGGGACACUGCCUGAUGGAGGGGGAUAACUACUGGAAACGGUAGCUAAUACCGCAUACCAUCGGAUGUGCCCAGCUGGGAUUCGCUAGUAGGUGGGGUAAAGGCUCACCUAGGCGACGAGCCCUAGCUGGGCUGAGAGGAUGCCCAGCCACACUGGAAGUGAGAGACGGUCCAGCCUCCUACGUGAGGCAGGAGUGGGGAAUAAUGCACAAUGGACGCAAGACUGAUGCAGCCAGGCCGCGUGUAUGAAGAAGGCCUUCGGGUUGUAAAGUACUUUCAGCGAGGAGGCGUUACCCGCAGAAGAAGCACCGGCUAACUCCGUGCCAGCAGCCGCGGUAAUAC